RNAcentral lists this unclassified non-coding RNA (377 nucleotides) under uncultured Geodermatophilaceae bacterium. Its description in RNAcentral is "contains 16S-23S intergenic spacer region". The record is from RNAcentral. Lineage: Bacteria; Bacillati; Actinomycetota; Actinomycetes; Geodermatophilales; Geodermatophilaceae.
UCCGAGUUGACCCCGGCAGUCUCCUAUGAGUCCUCGGCUUUACCCGUUAGCAACAGCAGAUAAGGGUUGCGCUCGUUGCGGGACUUAGCCCAACAUCUCACGACACGAGCUGACGACAACCAUGCACCACCUGUGCACGGCCCUUACGGACCUCCCAUCUCUGGAAGAUUUCCGUGCAUGUCAAGCCUAGGUAAGGUUCUUCGCGUUGCAUCGAAUUAAGCAACAUGCUCCGCCGCUUGUGCGGGCCCCCGUCAAUUCCUUUGAGUUUUAGCCUUGCGGCCGUACUCCCCAGGCGGGGCGCUUAAUGCGUUAGCUGCGGCACGGAACUCGUGGAAUGAGCCCCACACCUAGCGCCCAACGUUUACGGCGUGGACUAC